UAGGGAAUAUUGGACAAUGGGCGAAAGCCUGAUCCAGCCAUGCCGCGUGCAGGAAGAAGGCCCUCUGGGUUGUAAACUGCUUUUGACAAGGAACAAACGACCCAUGCGUGGGGCAUUGAGUGUACUUGUAGAAUAAGCACCGGCUAACUCCGUGCCAGCAGCCGCGGUAAUACGGAGGGUGCAAGCGUUGUCCGGAUUUAUUGGGUUUAAAGGGUGCGUAGGUGGCCUUAUAAGUCAGUGGUGAAAGCCGACAGCUUAACUGUCGAACUGCCAUUGAUACUGUAGGGCUUGAGUAUUGUUGAGGUAGGCGGAAUUGAAGGUGUAGCGGUGAAAUGCAUAGAUAUCUUCAAGAACUCCAAUUGCGAAGGCAGCUUACUAAAGAAUAACUGACACUGAGGCACGAAAGCGUGGGUAGCAAACAGG
Molecule: ribosomal RNA, 423 nt
Filed under: uncultured Sphingobacteriales bacterium
Lineage: Bacteria; Pseudomonadati; Bacteroidota; Sphingobacteriia; Sphingobacteriales
Description: bacterial SSU rRNA
Rfam family: Bacterial small subunit ribosomal RNA
Source: RNAcentral